GACGGAGGGGGCUAGCGUUGUUCGGAAUGACUGGGCGUAAAGGGCGCGUAGGCGGCUUUUUAAGUGAGGCGUGAAAGCCCUGGGCUUAACCCAGGAGGUGCGUUUCAUACUGAAGAGCUUGAGUACGAGAGAGGAAAGUGGAAUUCCUAGUGUAGAGGUGAAAUUCGUAGAUAUUAGGAAGAACACCAGUGGCGAAGGUGGCUUUCUGGCUCGUAACUGACGCUGAGGCGCGAAAGCGUGGGGAGCAAACAGG
RNAcentral lists this ribosomal RNA (253 nucleotides) under uncultured bacterium. RNAcentral describes it as "partial 16S ribosomal RNA". It matches the Rfam family "Bacterial small subunit ribosomal RNA", at positions 524 to 776 of the family's 1533-position model. The record is from RNAcentral.